UACGUAGGGGGCAAGCGUUGUCCGGAUUUAUUGGGCGUAAAGAGCGUGUAGGCGGCCAGGUAGGUCUGCUGUGAAAACUCGAGGCUCAACCUCGAGACGCCGAUGGAAACCGUCUGGCUAGAGUCCGGAAGAGGAGAGUGGAAUUCCUGGUGUAGCGGUGAAAUGCGCAGAUAUCAGGAAGAACACCCGUGGCUAAGGCGGCUCUCUAGUACGGUACUGACGCUGAGACGCGAAAGCGUGGGGAGCGAACAGG
RNAcentral lists this ribosomal RNA (253 nucleotides) under uncultured bacterium. Its description in RNAcentral is "partial 16S ribosomal RNA". It matches the Rfam family "Bacterial small subunit ribosomal RNA", at positions 524 to 776 of the family's 1533-position model. The record is from RNAcentral.